CCUACGGGAGGCAGCAGUGAGGAAUAUUGGUCAAUGGACGCAAGUCUGAACCAGCCAUGCCGCGUGCAGGAAGACGGCUCUAUGAGUUGUAAACUGCUUUUGUACGAGGGUAAAUCCCGAUACGUGUAGCGGGUUGAAAGUAUCGUACGAAUAAGGAUCGGCUAACUCCGUGCCAGCAGCCGCGGUAAUACGGAGGAUUCAAGCGUUAUCCGGAUUUAUUGGGUUUAAAGGGUGCGUAGGCGGUUCGAUAAGUUAGAGGGGCAAUCCCGGGGCUCAACUCCGGCACUGCCUCUGAUACUGUCGGGCUAGAGUUUAGUUGCGGUAGGCGGAAUGUCUGGUGUAGCGG
This 346-nucleotide ribosomal RNA is filed under the name uncultured bacterium. RNAcentral describes it as "partial 16S ribosomal RNA". It matches the Rfam family "Bacterial small subunit ribosomal RNA", at positions 338 to 681 of the family's 1533-position model. The record is from RNAcentral.